Quercus lobata is the source of this 582-nucleotide long non-coding RNA. RefSeq lists it as uncharacterized. The record is from RefSeq and is a predicted model, not a curated record. The transcript has 2 exons. NCBI's taxonomy places the organism in Eukaryota, Viridiplantae, Streptophyta, Magnoliopsida, Fagales, Fagaceae.
GAUGAUGGAUUGCCCUUGUAAAUUAUCUAUUUGCGAAGUGAAUUGCCUGCAGUGUUGUGUGAUGUUAUCCUCCUAAAAACACUCAUUAUCACCAAUUGUCAUCAACUAUCUACACUUCCCAAAGAGAUUGGAAAGCUAGUGAAUUUAGAAGUGCUCAGGCUUAGGUCUUGUACUGAUUUAUCUGAGUUGCCAAAAUCUAUCACAAGCCUUAAAAAAUCUGAAUCUAUCACAGGCCUUAAAAACUUAAGACUUCUCGACAUAUUUGAUUGCCUAAGCAUUGGACACUUGCCAAAAGAGAUUGGUGAGUUACGUAAAUUAGAGGAGAUCCACAUGAAAGGGUGCUUGAGCUUGCGUAAUGAGUUGCCACCAUCAACCACAAAUCUUGAGCAAUUGAAGCUUGUGAUAUGUGAUGAAGAGAGGGCUAAGUUUUGGGAGCCUAUCAAGGAAGUUCUUACCAAUCUAGAGGUCAAGGUGGCUGAAAAAGAUAUCAACUUGACUUGGCUUCUCAAACCAUGAUUUAUGAGAAUUGUUUCUUUUUGGAAAAUUUUGUAGGCUUUGUCAACUUAUUAUCAUUAUCUUCUA